Molecule: ribosomal RNA, 460 nt
Filed under: uncultured bacterium
Lineage: Bacteria
Description: partial 16S ribosomal RNA
Rfam family: Bacterial small subunit ribosomal RNA
Source: RNAcentral
CCUACGGGAGGCAGCAGUGAGGAAUAUUGGUCAAUGGACGAGAGUCUGAACCAGCCAAGUAGCGUGAAGGAUGACUGCCCUAUGGGUUGUAAACUUCUUUUAUAUGGGAAUAAAACGUUCCACGUGUGGGAUUUUGUAUGUACCAUAUGAAUAAGGAUCGGCUAACUCCGUGCCAGCAGCCGCGGUAAUACGGAGGAUCCGAGCGUUAUCCGGAUUUAUUGGGUUUAAAGGGAGCGUAGGUGGAUUGUUAAGUCAGUUGUGAAAGUUUGCGGUUCAACCGUAAAAUUGCAGUUGAAACUGGCAGUCUUGAGUACAGUAGAGGUGGGCGGAAUUCGUGGUGUAGCGGUGAAAUGCUUAGAUAUCACGAAGAACUCCGAUUGCGAAGGCAGUUCACUGGACUGCAACUGACACUGAGGCUCGAAAGUGUGGGUAUCAAACAGGAUUAGAUACCCGAGUAGUC